Molecule: long non-coding RNA, 7038 nt
Filed under: Lactuca sativa (garden lettuce)
Lineage: Eukaryota; Viridiplantae; Streptophyta; Magnoliopsida; Asterales; Asteraceae
Description: long non-coding RNA (LSAT_LNC004898)
Source: RNAcentral
GGCUCUAGGAUCCCUUGGAAGCAAGUAGACAAUUUCUAUGGCCUUAGGGGUCUUUAUAUAGGGUAGAGAUUAGGGUUUCAGUCCUUAUCCUUAUCUAGUUGCUUGCCCACCAAGCAAUCAUAAGAUAAUCCUUGAUAACCAUUAUCCUUGGAUGAUUUCAAGGAUUCCUUAUCCCUUGAAUUCGUCCAACCUAUAUCUAGGGUAACCAUUGCCGUAUUUUGCAACUAUCACAUAAUUACAAUUCAGCCCCUCUAGUUUAAUUAAUCACACUUGAUCACAAAAUGAAUUCCUAAUUAAUUAUUGACCAAUAUUAAUUCAACAAACUAUUAUUCUUAUACUAUAUUAAUAAAUCAUAAUAACCUCUUUCUCUAUUUAUUUCUCCAGUCAAGUUGCUUUGGUGAAGGCAACUGAAAAGGACCAUGCACAACGGGUUCAAGUACUUACCAAAUAUGGUUAGGGGCUUAGACACUAAUCCAACAGUCUCCCACUUGGAUAAAUCUAGUAACCACAAAUGCAGGUACAACUUGAUUAGCGAUCGUAGCUCUCAAAGACACUGUCAAACUCUGAUCUUAUCAAUAACAUGUCCUUUAGAUAAGGGAUCAUAUAGUCCUCUGUUUUGAUAUCGUGCAGACAAUCUCAUGAAACAUUGUCAUACUUAUUGUCUAGAAAUUAGUUUAUCGAUCUCAGAUUCAUUCGACAUAGAACUUAAUUCAACACAUCAAUUUAGUCUUGACCGGGCUCGGCACAUAAGUCAAAUCAAAUCAUCGAGGGGACCUGAUAUCGCUUUUACCCUCUUAGGAUAAAAGGUAACAGAUAAACUUCGACUUAUAUGCAUUUACUAUUCACUAAUCAAUCAUUCACAACAAUGUGUUUUAUGACAUCAAUUUACUGAUGUGGUUUCGCAUUAUCAAUGCAUAAUUAAUUAGUAAAAAAUAAACCAUAUAUCUUGGUUUUAAGACCAUAUGAUAUUAUCGUCUUGCGGUCACUUGUGGUACAUUCCAUAAGGUGAUUCCAGCAAGCGCGGGUUUAUUCCAAUGCUCAAAACCUUUUCAGAAGCACUCAUGAAUGUUGUAAGAAACUUUUGUAAUGUUUAAUACCUUUCAGAGUAUCUACACACCGAUUCAUGACAGUCUUCAUUCAUAACUACUUCCAACAUAUGAACGACUGUGGACCGUUUGGAUAAUUCUAUUAUUCUUAAAAAACUUAAUUAUUUUGGAAGUCAAAACAUGCAAAGUGAAACAAUAGUUAAAGAAUUAACAUAAGAUAGAAACCUUUUAAAUAAUACUCCUUUAUUUAAUCAUCAAAUGUCAAUUACAUUUAUCUAUUACAAGUUUCCAAAAUAUCUAAUCCAAACUAAUAUCGUCCUUCAGCCCAAUGCUCCUAGCGUGCUGCAAGUGCCUAACCCUACUCAGUCUCUUCGUAAGCGGAUCUGCUAGGUUAUCCUCUGACGAUAUCCUCUUAACUACGAGGUGUCCUUCUUCUACUCCAUGUCUAACAAAGUGAUGUUUUUUGUCGAUAUGUCGAGAUCUACCAUGAUCCCUCGGUUCCUUGGUCAAGGCAACCGCUCCUUCAUUAUCACAGAAAAUUUGCAUAGGCUCCUUUAUGGCAAAUACAACUCCAAGGUCUCCGAUGAAGUUCUUCAACCAUAUCGCCUCCUUUGAUGCUUCGCUUAUCGCAAUGUACUCUGAUUCGCAUGUUGAAUCAGCUACGGUUUCCUACUUGGAACUUUUCCAAGUCACUGCUCCUCCAUUAAGGAUAAAGACCCAGCCCAACUACGAACGGUAGGUGUCCCUGUCGGUCUGGAAGCUGGCAUCACUAUACCUUGGCACCUUCAAGUCAUCACUCCCUUCGAGAACCAAAAACCAUUCCUUGGUCCUCCGAAGGUACUUAAGGAUAUUCUUGACUGCGGUCCAAUGCACUUUGCCAGGGUUCCCUUGAUAUCUGCUGACCAUACUCAAAGCAAAGGCCACAUCAGGGCGAGUACAGGUCAUAGCAUACAUGAUUGAGCCAACUACGAAAGCGUAAGGUACUCGACUCAUCUCUGCUAUCUCGGCUUUGGUACUCGGACUUUGAGUUUUACUCAACAUGGCAUUACUUUGUAUCGGUAAUUCUCCCUUCUUUGAGUUUUCCAUACUAAAACGUUUUAGUACCUUAUCCAAGUAAGUAUUCUGACUAAGUCCUAUUAGUCUCUUACUUCGUUCUCUCACUAUCCUUAUUCCCAAAAUAUAGGAAGCCUCUUCGAGGUCCUUCAUAGCGAAGCACUUCCCGAGCCAGGACUUAACCUCCUACAGAGUCAGGAUGUCGUUUCCUAUGAGUAGUAUGUCAUCAACAUACAAAACGAGGAAGCUAACUAUACUCCCACUGGCCUUGACAUAUACACAUGAUUAAUCUUGACUUCGUACAAAUCAAAACUCUUUGACUUUCUCAUCAAAGCAAAGAUUCCAUCUGCGAGAUGCUUUCUUAAGUCCAUAAAUGGACUUCUCAAGCUUGCACACUCUAUUGGGAUGCUUCGUAUCAACAAAAUCUUCUGGCAGAGCCAUGUAAACAUCCUCAGCCAACUUCCCAUUAAGGAAAGUGGUCUUGACAUCCAUCUGCCAUAUCUCAUAAUCAUGAAAUGCAGCAAUGGCUAGCAUCACCCUAAUAGACUUUAUUUUAGCAACUGGCGAGAAGGUAUCAUCAUAGUCAACUCCGGGAGUUUGAGUAAAGCCCUUCGCAACCAAUCGCGCCUUAUACGUGUGCACAUUCCCAUCCACGUCGGUCUUUUUCUUGAAGAUUCAUUUGCACCCAACCAUCUUACGUCCGGGCAUAUUGUCAACCAAAUUCCAAACAUGGUUGUUAUACAUGGACUGAAUCUCAUUGUCCAUCGCCUCUUUCCAUUUUGCAGACUCUGGGCCUGCCAUCGCUUCCUUAUAGCUAUUAGGUUCAUCUAGAUUUAUUAGAGUACCAUCACUAAUAUACGUGUCCCCUUUGGUAGUAAUAUGAAAACCAUAAAACUAGGGUUGAACUGUAACUCUUUCGGAACGUCUACGAGGUAAGGACUCAUCAAUUGGUUCAACUGGAGUUUCCUCCUCGGGUUGAGCGCCAGCAAUAGAGGUUCCUUCAUCACUCGACUCUUGAAUCUCUUCAAUAUCGAUUUGCCUCACAUUAUCUCCUUGGCUUAUGAGUUCUCGCUCUCAGAAAAACCCUCUCCUCGCAACGAAGACAACAUUAUCACUCGAUCUAUAGAAGAGAUAUCCAAAGGAUUUCUGUAGGUAGCCGAUGAAAAUACAUCGCUCCCUACAAGGUUCGAGCUUGUCGUGAGAAUCUCGUCUUACGAAAACCUCACAACCCCAAACCUUGUUGUGUUCCAACGAGGGAGCUUUCCCUGUCCACAUCUCGUGAGGUGUUUUGGCAACCUUCUUUGUAGGGACUCGGUUAAGGAUAUGGGCGGCAGUCUCUAAGGCAUACCCCCAAAAUGAGAUAGGUAGUGAAGCAUGACUCAUCAUGGAACAAACCAUGUCUAACAUGGUUCGAUUACGCCUUUCUGCCACACCAUUCAACUGCGGUAUCCUAGGUGGCAUCAAUUGCGAAACUAUUUAGCAUUCCUUGAGAUAGUAGUGGAAUUCAAGACUUAGGUACUCUCCUCCUCGAUCAGAUCGAAGCAUGUUGAUUUUCCUGCCAAAUUGAUUCUCCACUUCAUGUUUGAACUCUUUGAACUUUUCAAACGUUUCUGACUUGUGCUUCAUUAAGUAAAUAUACGCAUAUCUACUAUAAUCAUCGAUGAAAGUCAAAUAGAAGCGGUUCGCAUCCUUUGUGGUGGAUCUAAAGGGCCCACACACAUCGGUGUGUAUGAGAUCCAAUAAACCCUCACCCCUCUCAUAAGUGCCAGUGAAGGGUGACUUGGUCAUCUUUCCAAGUAAACAAGACUCGCACAUGUCAUCUUCCCUAAGGUCGAAUGACUCCAACACUCCAUCCUUUUGGAGUUGGGCUAUGCGCUUCUUGUUGACAUGUCCAAGACGACAAUGCCACAAGCAUGCUUUAUCCAUACUAUUGGAAGAAUCCAUACACAACACAUCAUUUCCUAGGUUAUCUACAACCAUAAUAGUUUCAUAAAUUCCAUUACAAGGCAUUGCUUCAAAAUAUAAAACACCAUUUAGAUAAGCAUAAAUCCAACCAUUCUCAUUAUUAAACGAAUAUCUAAAUCGUUGUCUAAACAAAACAUGAAAUGAAAUAAUGUUUCUUGCCAUAUGUGGCGAGUAGCAACAAUUAUUUAAAUCUAAACCUAAUCUAUUACUAAGGACUAGAGAAUACACUCCAAUCUUGGUGACAAGCGACGAUCUUCUAUUCCCCAUGAUUAGAUUUAUUCUUCCAUGCUCCACAUCCCUAUUUCUUCUUAGUCCCUGCAAAUCAGUAUAUAUGUGAUAACCACAUCCUUUAUCAAGAACCCAAUAAAUAGCAUGCGACGAAUCAUUAGAUUUAAUUGUGUAAAUACCUGCGAAACACGGCUUGAUCUUCCCAUUCUUGAUGGCUUGCAGAUAUUCCGGGUAGCUUCUCUUCCAAUGCCCAAAUUUGUGGCAAUAGUGGCACUCUUCCUCCUUUGGGUUUGAGUUGGGCUUAGCAGGACCAACUUUGGUCCCACUAGAACUGGAACCAUCAUGGGACUUUCCAUUGUGGUGGCUCUUUGAAGGAGCCUUCCUCUUCAUGCCCCUUCCUUGCCCAAUAGCCAAAACAGGAGCAACAGGUGGAGUGGGAGUUAAUGCAACAGACUUGUCCUUAAGGUUGCUCUCAGCAGUCCUUAGGAGCCCUUGGAGUUUACUUAGGGUGACCUCUUCCUUGUUUAUGUGGUAGGUCAUCCUAAAUUGGUUAUAGCACGAGGGAAAGGAGUGAAGAACGAUGUCGAUAGCCAAAUAUUCCCCAAAGUUAACAUUUAACUUGCGAAGACGAUCAACAUAUCUUUGCAUCUUUUGGAAGUGCACGGUUAGAGACUCUCCACUUCCCAUCUUAGCGGUGAUCAUUUUCGUGAUGAUCUCAUAGCGCUCUUGCCUUGUGCUUUGGUGGUAUCUCUCCAUCAAGUCUUGAUGCAUUUCGUAAGAAUACAUGUCCUCGUAGGACUUUUGGAGUUUGGGAUUCAUUAUGGCUAGCAUAAUGCAAUGGACUUUCGUUGCAUCACACUCAUGGGUCUCAAAGACGGCCAUUUCUUCAGGAUUAGCGAUUUCUGAAUUGAUCUUUUCAAGCUUCUCGUCGAAGACAUACUCUUUGUCCUCGUAGCAAGCAAUCGUGUGGAUGUAUCUUAUCCAUUCGCUAAAGUUCGAUCCAUCAAAUGUCACCUUUUGACAUAGGCUCAUUAGCGAGAAUGAGGUAGCAGCAGCGUUGUUUGCGUUAGACAUCUACAAAUAGAAAGGAACAAAGUUUGAUUAGAAUUAAAUCCCUAAUAAAACACCCAAAAUGAAAAAUUAGGGCUAGGACCCAACAACAUUAUUUACACAUUAGAAAAGGGAUGCCGUAAUCCAACAUGCAAAUAAUUUGGAGGUAAGUGAAUGACGAUUCACUAAUUCUUCACCAUGAAAAACAUAACGCUCAAGUUUUAAAUGUAUUGAGAAUUCCUAGAUUUCCUUAGAGAUUCAUUGAACUUUUCAAUGACAUGUUUAAAUCUCGAUAUGCCCCUCUCGUUUGUGACUGGGAUGCCGAGGAUCACAAAGUAGGUGUGAAUAACCAUGCAAAUCUACAUGGUGCCCUCAUUGUUACAGUCACCUAUUCGAUGUACCGGUAAACCUCACACGCUCCAUCGAACUAUGACAAACAUUGAGUCACCCUUUNNNNNNNNNNNNNNNNNNNNNNNNNNNNNNNNNNNNNNNNNNNNNNNNNNNNNNNUAUAUAUAUAUAUAUAUAUAUAUAUAUAUUAGUCUUGUAAUAAUAUAAUAGUAUAAGGUGUAUUUUAAACAUUUCAAAAUACUAGGGUUUUAUUCUCAAUUUAAAAUUUUCGAAAUUUAAUACCAUUUAAAUUAAAAUUUUAAAUAUUAAAACUCUUGAUUUAAUAAUUAUCUUAAAUUAAACUAUUAAUUUAAAUUAUUAAAUCAUAAGGGAUUAUUAAAAUCAUGAAGGAUAAUUACCAUUUAAACAAUUAAUUUAUCCUAAUCUUUUUAAUCCGUCUAAAUUUCGAAAAUCAUGGGAUAUGAUAAUUCAAAAUAUUUAAUUACCAUAUAUAACCAUAAAGGAUAAUUACAAGAUAUGAGAUAAUCCAAAUCCCUAAAAUUUAGGAUCUUAUCUUGGGGAGGAGGCUAAUCUCGAAAAUCCUAGGGCUUGCAAACCCAAGAUUUCGAAAUCUUAGCACUUAAGGAAAUGAUUUGAAAAAACCCUUUCAAAUUUUCGCAAAUUAGGGUUUAGAAACCCUAAUCUCGAAAUUCUUGCCUCCUAGGGUUUAUCGACUAUAAACCCUAAUAUGUCAAGUUCAUAUAAUUGUAUAACACUAAUUGAAAACAAGUUAGCCAAUGGCUCUGAUACCACUGAUUGGUUUUGUAAAAAUAAUCCUAUGUGUGCAUGCAACCCUAGAUUUGGAUCUAUGUUUUUACUAUUAGAUACACAAAAUUAUGAACACAUGAAGAAACCCUAGCAUGCCCUAGUAUUUUCGUAAUUCACAUAGAAAGAUAGAUCACAUACCUCUUGUUGUUAUAUUGCAAUAACAACUCAAAUCUUCAAACCCUAAGUCUUGAAAGCAUGUACCACAAGUGUAGUACCUCUAAUGGCUCACAAACACCACAAGCAAUUGGCGAGGCUAUAGAGAGAGAAGGUGAGAGGUAGAAAUCGGCUCUAGGAUCCUUUGGAAGCAAGUGGACAAUUUCUAUGGCCUUAGGGGUCUUUAUAUAGGGUACAGAUUAGAGUUUCAGUCCUUAUCCUUAUCUAGUUGAUUGCCCACCAAGCAAUCAUAAGAUAAGCCUAGAUAACCCUUAUCCUUGGACAAUUUCAAGGAUUCCUUAUCCCUUGAAUUCGUCCAACCUAUAUCUAGGGUAACCAUUGCCCUAUUUUGCAACUAUCACAUAAUUACAAUUCAGCCCCUCUAGU